Molecule: ribosomal RNA, 74 nt
Filed under: Leucosyke quadrinervia
Lineage: Eukaryota; Viridiplantae; Streptophyta; Magnoliopsida; Rosales; Urticaceae
Description: partial 28S ribosomal RNA
Source: RNAcentral
CCUCGUUUAACGAGGCUCCCUCGACGCGACCCCAGGUCAGGCGGGACUACCCGCUGAGUUUAAGCAUAUCAAUA